AGUGAACGCUGGCGGUAGGCCUAACACAUGCAAGUCGAACGGCAGCACAGGAGAGCUUGCUCUCUGGGUGGCGAGUGGCGGACGGGUGAGGAAUGCAUCGGAAUCUACUCUUUCGUGGGGGAUAACGUAGGGAAACUUACGCUAAUACCGCAUACGACCUACGGGUGAAAGCCGGGGACCUUCGGGCCUGGCGCGAAUGAAUGAGCCGAUGCCCGAUUAGCUAGUUGGCGGGGUAAGAGCCCACCAAGGCGACGAUCGGUAGCUGGUCUGAGAGGAUGAUCAGCCACACUGGAACUGAGACACGGUCCAGACUCCUACGGGAGGCAGCAGUGGGGAAUAUUGGACAAUGGGCGCAAGCCUGAUCCAGCCAUACCGCGUGGGUGAAGAAGGCCUUCGGGUUGUAAAGCCCUUUUGUUGGGAAAGAAAAGCAGCUGGUUAAUACCCGGUUGUUCUGACGGUACCCAAAGAAUAAGCACCGACUAACUUCGUG
RNAcentral lists this ribosomal RNA (490 nucleotides) under uncultured bacterium. RNAcentral's name for it is "partial 16S ribosomal RNA". It matches the Rfam family "Bacterial small subunit ribosomal RNA", at positions 29 to 507 of the family's 1533-position model. The record is from RNAcentral.